GUGAGUGAUACCCUGCUUCCAGGAAAAGCCACUAAGCUUCAGCUAUUGACGACCGUACCGCAAACCGACACUGGUGCGCGAGAUGAGUAUUCUAAGGCGCUUGAGAGAACUCAGGAGAAGGAACUCGGCAAAUUGACACCGUAACUUCGGGAGAAGGUGUACCCCAAGUAAGUGAAGUUGUACAAACGGAGCUCAAAGGGGUUGCAAAAAAUUGGUGGCUGCGACUGUUUAAUAAAAACACAGCACUCUGCAAACACGAAAGUGGACGUAUAGGG
This 275-nucleotide ribosomal RNA is filed under the name Comamonas testosteroni. RNAcentral's name for it is "partial 23S ribosomal RNA". It matches the Rfam family "Bacterial large subunit ribosomal RNA", at positions 1590 to 1850 of the family's 2925-position model. Lineage: Bacteria; Pseudomonadati; Pseudomonadota; Betaproteobacteria; Burkholderiales; Comamonadaceae. The record is from RNAcentral.